GACGAACGCUGGCGGCGUGCCUAAUACAUGCAAGUAGAACGCUGAAACUUGGUGCUUGCACCGAGCGGAUGAGUUGCGAACGGGUGAGUAACGCGUAGGUAACCUGCCUGGUAGCGGGGGAUAACUAUUGGAAACGAUAGCUAAUACCGCAUAAGAGUAGAUGUUGCAUGACAUUUGCUUAAAAGGUGCAAUUGCACCACUACCAGAUGGACCUGCGUUGUAUUAGCUAGUUGGUGGGGUAACGGCUCACCAAGGCGACGAUACAUAGCCGACCUGAGAGGGUGAUCGGCCACACUGGGACUGAGACACGGCCCAGACUCCUACGGGAGGCAGCAGUAGGGAAUCUUCGGCAAAGGACGGAAGUCUGACCGAGCAACGCCGCGUGAGUGAAGAAGGUUUUCGGAUCGUAAAGCUCUGUUGUAAGAGAAGAACGAGUGUGAGAGUGGAAAGUUCACACUGUGACGGUAUCUUACCAGAAAGGGACGGCUAACUACGU
Molecule: ribosomal RNA, 496 nt
Filed under: uncultured bacterium
Lineage: Bacteria
Description: partial 16S ribosomal RNA
Rfam family: Bacterial small subunit ribosomal RNA
Source: RNAcentral